Molecule: ribosomal RNA, 246 nt
Filed under: Triticum aestivum (bread wheat)
Lineage: Eukaryota; Viridiplantae; Streptophyta; Magnoliopsida; Poales; Poaceae
Description: partial small subunit ribosomal RNA
Source: RNAcentral
UCAAUACUUAUUUUCCCUCCAGCAGGUUCAACAAGGCGGAACAAUGCACCAAUUAAAGUUGUCUUGCCACUUCCUGUUCGACCAACUAUACCAAUCUUGUCUCCACCUUCAAACUUGCAAGUGAUACCAUGUAGUACAAGGGGUGCGUCUUCCCUGUACCUAAUCUGUCAAAUGAAAAUAAAUCACAUAAAAUUGUUAGAAUUUCUAAAGGGUUUCACCUGGUCAAGUGUACAUGUACAUGUUUAA